RNAcentral lists this ribosomal RNA (1491 nucleotides) under uncultured bacterium. RNAcentral's name for it is "bacterial SSU rRNA". It matches the Rfam family "Bacterial small subunit ribosomal RNA". The record is from RNAcentral.
AGAGUUUGAUCAUGGCUCAGAUUGAACGCUGGCGGAAUGCUUUACACAUGCAAGUCGAACGGCAGCACGGGAGCUUGCUCCUGGUGGCGAGUGGCGAACGGGUGAGUAAUGCGUCGGAACGUGCCGAGUAAUGGGGGAUAACGCGGCGAAAGUCGCGCUAAUACCGCAUACGCCCUGAGGGGGAAAGCGGGGGAUCGCAAGACCUCGCGUUAUUCGAGCGGCCGACGUCUGAUUAGCUAGUUGGUGGGGUAAAGGCCCACCAAGGCGACGAUCAGUAGCGGGUCUGAGAGGAUGAUCCGCCACACUGGGACUGAGACACGGCCCAGACUCCUACGGGAGGCAGCAGUGGGGAAUUUUGGACAAUGGGGGCAACCCUGAUCCAGCCAUUCCGCGUGAGUGAAGAAGGCCUUCGGGUUGUAAAGCUCUUUCAGCUGGAACGAAACGGUGCGCUCUAACAUAGCGUGCUAAUGACGGUACCAGCAGAAGAAGCACCGGCUAACUACGUGCCAGCAGCCGCGGUAAUACGUAGGGUGCGAGCGUUAAUCGGAAUUACUGGGCGUAAAGCGUGCGCAGGCGGAUUGUUAAGCAAGACGUGAAAUCCCCGGGCUUAACCUGGGAAUGGCGUUUUGAACUGGCAGUCUAGAGUGCGUCAGAGGGGGGUGGAAUUCCACGUGUAGCAGUGAAAUGCGUAGAGAUGUGGAGGAACACCGAUGGCGAAAGCAGCCCCCUGGGAUGACACUGACGCUCAUGUACGAAAGCGUGGGUAGCAAACAGGAUUAGAUACCCUGGUAGUCCACGCCCUAAACGAUGUCAACUGGUUGUUGGGGGAGUGAAAUCCCUUUAGUAACGAAGCUAACGCGCGAAGUUGACCGCCUGGGGAGUACGGUCGCAAGAUUAAAACUCAAAGGAAUUGACGGGGACCCGCACAAGCGGUGGAUGAUGUGGAUUAAUUCGAUGCAACGCGAAAAACCUUACCUACCCUUGACAUGUCCGGAAUCCUGCAGAGAUGCGGGAGUGCCCGAAAGGGAAUCGGAACACAGGUGCUGCAUGGCUGUCGUCAGCUCGUGUCGUGAGAUGUUGGGUUAAGUCCCGCAACGAGCGCAACCCUUAUCAUUAGUUGCUACGCAAGGGCACUCUAAUGAGACUGCCGGUGACAAACCGGAGGAAGGUGGGGAUGACGUCAAGUCCUCAUGGCCCUUAUGGGUAGGGCUUCACACGUCAUACAAUGGUCGGUACAGAGGGUUGCCAAGCCGCGAGGUGGAGCCAAUCCCAGAAAGCCGAUCGUAGUCCGGAUUGUUCUCUGCAACUCGAGAGCAUGAAGUCGGAAUCGCUAGUAAUCGCGGAUCAGCAUGUCGCGGUGAAUACGUUCCCGGGUCUUGUACACACCGCCCGUCAAGCCAUGGAAGCUGGGGGUACCUGAAGUCGGUGACCGUAAGGAGCUGCCUAGGGUAAAACUAGUAACUGGGGCUAAGUCGUAACAAGGUAACCGUA